UUAGGUGCCCGUACCGCAAACCGACACAGGUAGUCAAGAUGAGAAUUCUAAGGUGAGCGAGCGAACUCUCGUUAAGGAACUCGGCAAAAUGACCCCGUAACUUCGGGAGAAGGGGUGCUCUUUAGGGUGCAAGCCCAGAAGAGCCGCAGUGAAUAGGCCCAAGCGACUGUUUAUCAAAAACACAGGUCUCUGCUAAACCGUAAGGUGAUGUAUAGGGGCUGACGCCUGCCCGGUGCUGGAAGGUUAAGAGGAGUGGUUAGCUUCUGCGAAGCUACGAAUCGAAGCCCCAGUAAACGGCGGCCGUAACUAUAACGGUCCUAAGGUAGCGAAAUUCCUUGUCGGGUAAGUUCCGACCCGCACGAAAGGCGUAACGAUUUGGGCACUGUCUCAACGAGAGACUCGGUGAAAUCAUAGUACCUGUG
Molecule: ribosomal RNA, 422 nt
Filed under: Staphylococcus sp. HMSC068C09
Lineage: Bacteria; Bacillati; Bacillota; Bacilli; Caryophanales; Staphylococcaceae
Description: bacterial LSU rRNA
Rfam family: Bacterial large subunit ribosomal RNA
Source: RNAcentral